CUUACCCCGGUCAUGAAAACCCUGACGGAACAAUACCGCGUGAGGGAGGAAGGCUCUUGGGUCGUAAACCUCUUUUCUCACCGUAGAAGAAAGUGACCGUACUUGAGGAAUAAGCAUCGGCUAACUCCGUGCCAGCAGCCGCGGUAAUACGGAGGAUGCAAGCGUUAUCCGGAAUGAUUGGGCGUAAAGGGUCUGCAGGUGGAACUGAAAGUCUGCUGUUAAAGAGUUUGGCUUAACCAAAUAAAAGCGGUGGAAACUACAGAACUAGAGUGCGGUAGGGGCAAAAGGAAUUCCUGGUGUAGCGGUGAAAUGCGUAGAUAUCAGGAAGAACACCGGUGGCGAAAGCGUUUUGCUAGACCGUAACUGACACUGAGGGACGAAAGCUAGGGGAGCGAAUGGGAUUAGAUACCCCAGUAGUCCUAGCCGUAAACGAUGGAUACUAGGCGUGGCUUGUAUCGACCCGAGCCGUGCCGGAGCUAACGCGUUAAGUAUCCCGCCUGGGGAGUACGCACGCAAGUGUGAAACUCAAAGGAAUUGACGGGGGCCCGCACAAGCGGUGGAGUAUGUGGUUUAAUUCGAUGCAACGCGAAGAACCUUACCAAGGCUUGACAUCCUGCGAAUCCUGGUGAAAGCUGGGAGUGCCUUAGGGAGCGCAGAGACAGGUGGUGCAUGGCUGUCGUCAGCUCGUGUCGUGAGAUGUUGGGGUUAAGUCCCGCAACGAGCGCAACCCUCGUUUUUAGUUGCCAGCAUUUAAGUUGGGCACUCUAGAGAGACUGCCGGUGACAAACCGGAGGAAGGUGAGGAUGACGUCCAAGUCAGCAUGCCCCCUUUACGUCCUUGGGCUUACACACCGUUACUUACAAAUCGCCUCACGG
Molecule: ribosomal RNA, 875 nt
Filed under: uncultured bacterium
Lineage: Bacteria
Description: bacterial SSU rRNA
Rfam family: Bacterial small subunit ribosomal RNA
Source: RNAcentral